AUUGAACGCUGGCGGCGUGCCUAACACAUGCAAGUCGAGCGGUAACAGGUGUAGCAAUACAUGCUGACGAGCGGCGGACGGGUGAGUAACGCUUGGGAAUCUGCCUAGUAGUGGGGGAUAACCCGGGGAAACUCGGGCUAAUACCGCAUACGCCCUACGGGGAAAGCGGGGACGUUUCGGCCUCGCGCUAUUAGAUGAGCCUAAGUCCGAUUAGCUAGUUGGUAGGGUAAUGGCCUACCAAGGCGACGAUCGGUAGCUGGUCUGAGAGGACGACCAGCCACACUGGGACUGAGACACGGCCCAGACUCCUACGGGAGGCAGCAGUGGGGAAUAUUGGACAAUGGGCGCAAGCCUGAUCCAGCGA
RNAcentral lists this ribosomal RNA (364 nucleotides) under uncultured bacterium. Its description in RNAcentral is "bacterial SSU rRNA". It matches the Rfam family "Bacterial small subunit ribosomal RNA", at positions 30 to 394 of the family's 1533-position model. The record is from RNAcentral.